Cucumis sativus (cucumber) is the source of this 2975-nucleotide RNA transcript. RefSeq lists it as uncharacterized. The transcript has 5 exons. The record is from RefSeq and is a predicted model, not a curated record. NCBI's taxonomy places the organism in Eukaryota, Viridiplantae, Streptophyta, Magnoliopsida, Cucurbitales, Cucurbitaceae.
UUGCUUUGCUAUAUUAGCCGGAGACGACUGAGAAACCUUUAUUAGUUUUGUUUCCCUCCAAAUGUUCUUACGCUUGUACCGCGAAGAACCCUAGAAAAUCCUUUCUCCUUCUCCUUCGCGUUUCCGAUUUUGGAUUGUCAUUGUCGUUCUUUGCCGGUGCAUUUGUUUUCUGUUCGAUCAACAACAGAAUUCUCCAAAUUCUGCAUAUUCUAUUUUGUAUAAUUCUUUGUUUUCGUCUUCUCAUCUCUUGCUAACAAGGAAACCAUGAGUUCCUUUCUUCACAAACUAUGGGACGAAACGCUUGCUGGCCCUACGCCAGACAAUGGCCUCGGAAAGCUUCGAAAGUAUGAUCCCGUUUCGGCUUCGGAAUCGUCUUCGGUUAAGAUUUCCGGGGACGUUCCUGUAACGCGGAGUAUCACCAUUCUGAGGAGGAGAAACUAUGAUUUCAGGAACUUAGCGGAUGAUCGUGAUGGAAGGAUGAUCGACUCGCCGCGGACGCCUCUAACUCCGGGGACGCCCGAUCUUGAUGGUGAUCUGAAGAGGAUUCCGUGGAAAAGAUUGUCGGCUGAAUCAUUUGAACAUGACGAUUAGAAGACGCCGAUUACAGUCUCAUUGUCGAUUCAACCAUUGAAGGGGAAGCAGCCAAGUAUCUGUAUAUAAGAUAUGUAUCUAUGCAUGUGUGUGUGUAUGUAUGUAUGUAUGUAAAUAAUACCAGCCAACCUAGCUACAGUUCUUCAAUCCACCCGUUGGCAUUAAAAUUUAUGCUUCGAGAGGGAGGUUGAAUUUCUUAGUUUUCUGUUGGUUCUCAGUAAUUUGUAAUUACAAACCUUGUGAAUUAUGUGUAUAUAUCAUUAUUUCAUUCGUAAUGCAACUCCUCUUUCGCUGGUUUUCAUGUCUUUUGAAUCAGUUUUGAACCGCAAAUCACUUACACUUGAAUUAAAGAUAGAACAAAACCAUAACAAACUGAUCUAAACAAAAUUAUUGGGAUUUGAAGGCAUGAAUAAUAGAUAUUAUUCUGUGUAGGUUUAACUUGCAGAGGAUGCCUUGACUUUCUCGAUCAGAUCGGCGGCAUCUUGAACGGUAGAGAUGCCUUCAGCUCCACCUUCACCAAUUGACACUCCAAACCUCUCUUCCAAAGCCAUCAUGAUCUCAACCUUUGACUCACGGUGUCAAGAGAAUCAGCUCCCAAAUCAGAAAACUUUGUUUGAGGGAUCACUGCACUUUGUUCCAGAGAGAGUUGCUUGGCAAUUAUUUCUUGAACAACUUCCAGUGUUUCUGGUUGGGCCUUCACAUUUUUUACAUCACACCCAUCUUACUUUCAAGCCAAUAAUUGCAUAGGUAACACUUUUAAGAAUAAUAAUUGAGUGAAAUUGUAAAUAUAACAAAAUCUAUUGGUGAUAGACUCUAUCGUUGUAGUAGUCUACCGACGAUAUGGUCUAAAUUUUGUUGUAUUUGCAAAUUCCAUUGUACUAUAUUGUCAUUACUUCAAGUUAGAACUUAAAACCAACCAUUUUUCUAUUUUUCAACACUGUUUCCACUUUCCCAUUUGGUUCUUUUCCUUUAUAACCUUUCACCGAUAUUCAUCUUCCUUUUUGCCCAAUGAAUUAGAAGUUUUUUCCUUGUUUCUUCUUUUUUUGUUAUGUGUCCAAUAACCUAUGGUAACAGUAAAUACACGACUUUUCAUCUCAUCAGCAAUAAACUAUAAAGGGAUCAUAUUAUUGGUUUUACCUUUUUCUGUGGUCCAUUCUCAUCUAUUUCUCGUUAGUAAAACAAACUUCAUUAGUUGUUAUCAGUGUGUGUAUGUAUUUUCUUUUGUGUAUUUACAAAAUAUAUGUUUUGAACUUUUUCAUCCAUAAAAAAGAUAUAUUUGAAAAUUUUGCUUAGUAAUAAAAAGCAGAAUUUUGAUAUCUUUAAUAUUAAGAAAACCAUAUUUUCAAUUGUUUUUUUAGAAUAUUACAUUUGAUCAGAAUGGUCAUUCAAAACUGGAAAGUUAUUUAUAUAAUUUUUAAAAGCAUGGAUUUUUUUACUAAGGUUUCAUUCGAUAACCCUUUUCUUUUUCCGUUUUCGUUUUUGAAAAUGAGGUCUAUUUCAAUUUCAAUUUUUUUCCUUUUGUCGUCUACUUUCUGCAAAUAGAAUUUUGAAAACUAAAAAAAAUUCUUCCUAAAAAUUGUUCGUUUUUGGACUUUGGUUAUGAAUCCAACCAUUUUAUUUAAGGAAAAUGCAAAUUAUGACAAUUAAAUAAACUUAUACCAAUGAAGUCUAGAUUGUCCCGAUUCAAUUGUUUUGUUUUUAGAUCCCUUAAAUCAAAGAAAUUUAUUAAACUAUUCUUUCGCCAAUCUUUUUCUCCCUUAAGUAAUAUUGGGAAUGCAUUUAAAUUACCCCAAAAUUAAAUCUAUUACCAUUACAGUGAAAAACAAAUAGAGUUAAUAAAACGGUAGAAAUGUAUACACAAAUGCCUAUAAAUUAGGGAAAGAAAUAAAAAGGCUUGAGUUGUAAGAGAAGGUACAACAACUUACAACGGAGCAACAUAUCUUUGAUCUGAAUGACUUGGAAAGUGAAGAUGCUCCUUUUGCAGCCUUUGCCACUUUCAUGCUGGGAAACACCCUCUCCCCACAAAACAAACUACCGUCCUGCAUAAUUUCAAUGCAUUCGGGUGGUAGGUGGAUAGACUUACUCUUGCUGAUAGGCUAUUACGCGAAUACAAAACAGUACUCUUGUUUCUCAUCGAGGAGGUGCAUGUGAAUGUUGUGGGAAGUGGGGACGAUGCGAAGGACGACGACAUGAUCGAAAAGAGAUGGAAGGAAUGGAAAGGUAAGGUAAGUGUUUAAUGAAAGGUUUGAAAAAAGAGAGUAAGAAUGAAGUUGGGAGAGGGAAUGGUGGAAUUUAUAAAAUGCUGUUAUUAGUUAUUAAAAUGAAUUGAGAAAGAUUCGAUGAUAACGAAGGCUUUGUUUUGGUGUCAAUUUUGGCGGAUGGCA